This 1820-nucleotide ribosomal RNA is filed under the name Calyptogena kilmeri gill symbiont. RNAcentral describes it as "partial 23S ribosomal RNA". The record is from RNAcentral. Lineage: Bacteria; Pseudomonadati; Pseudomonadota; Gammaproteobacteria.
CCCACCAUGCAUUGUCCCUGAUCCAGAUAAUGGAUCUAGGUUAGAAUUACAAUCAUACUAGGGUGGUAUUUCAAGGAUGGCUCCACUCAAGACUAGCGUCUAAGUUUCAAAGCCUACCACCUAUCCUACACAAGUAGGAUCAAAAUUCAAUGCAAAGCUGUAGUAAAGGUGCACGGGGUCUUUCCGUCUGGCCGCGGGUAUACUGCAUCUUAACAGCAAUUUCAAUUUCACUGAGUCUCGGGUAGAGACAGUGUAGCCCUCGUUACGCCAUUCGUGCAGGUCGGAACUUACCCGACAAGGAAUUUCGCUACCUUAGGACCGUUAUAGUUACGGCCGCCGUUUACUUGGGCUUCGAUCAAAAGCUUCGGAUAAAUCCUAACCUCAUCAAUUAACCUUCAAGCACCGGGCAGGCGUCACACCCUAUACGUCCACUUACGUGUUUGCAGAGUGCUGUGUUUUUAAUAAACAGUCGGAGCUACCUGGUAUCUUCAACUCUUACCAGCUUCAUUUAGCAAGUAAAAUUACCGGCAAGAGCACACCUUCUCCCGAAGUUACGGUGUCAUUUUGCCUAGUUCCUUCACCCGAGUUCUCUCAAGCGCCUUAGAAUUCUCAUCUCGUCCACCUGUGUCGGUUUGGGGUACGGUUUCAUAUAACCUGAAGCUUAGAGGAUUUUCCUGGAAGCAUGGUAUUACGCACUUCUCCCAAAAGAGGGAUCGUUAUCACGCCUUAAAAUAUAGAGUUCCGGAUUUUCCUAAAACUCAUUUCUACACGCUUGAACUUGGACAACCAUAGCCAAGCUACGCUAACCUUCUCCGUCUUCCCAUCGCAGUUAUAUGAAGUAUAGGAAUAUUAACCUAUUUCCCAUCGACUACGCAUUUCUGCCUCGCCUUAGGGGCCGACUAACCCUACGCCGAUUAACGUUGCGUAGGAAACCUUGGACUUCUGGCGAGGGGGUUUUUCACCCCCUUUAUCGUUACUCAUGUCAGCAUUCGCACUUCUGAUACCUCCAGUAAACCUUACAGUUUACCUUCAACGGCUUACAGAACGCUCUCCUACCAUUGCAAUAAAUUGCAAUCCGUAGCUUCGGUAUGUAGUUUUAGCCCCGUUAAAUCUUCCGCGCAAACCGACUCGACCAGUGAGCUAUUACGCACUCUUUAAAGGAAUGGCUGCUUCUAAGCCAACUUCCUGGCUGUCUUGGCCUUUUCACAUCGUUUCCCACUUAACUACAAUUUUGGGACCUUAGCUGACGGUCUGGGUUGUUUCCCUUUCCACUACGGACGUUAGCACCCGCAGUGUGUCUCCCAUGCUCAUACUUGUCGGUAUUCGGAGUUUGCAAUGGCUUACUAAGCCUUGACGACCCGCUAACCAUAACAGUGCUCUACCCCCGACAGUAAUACAUGAGGCUCUACCUAAAUAGAUUUCGGAGAGAACCAGCUAUCUCCGGGUUUGUUUGGCCUUUCACCCCUAUCCACAGCUCAUCCCCUCAUUUUUCAACAUAAGUGGGUUCGGGCCUCCAGUUAGUUUUACCUAACCUUCACCCUGGCCAUGGAUAGAUCACCCGGUUUCGGGUCUACUCCCAGCAACUAAACGCCCAUUUAAGACUCGGUUUCCCUACGGCUCCCCUAUUUGGUUAACCUUGCUACUGAGAAGUAAGUCGCUGACCCAUUAUACAAAAGGUACGCAGUCACAGAAUAAAUCUGCUCCUACUGCUUGUAUGCAUACGAUUUCAGGUUCUAUUUCACUCCCCUCCCGGGGUUCUUUUCGCCUUUCCCUCACGGUACUUGUUCACUAUCGGUCAUUAGAGAGUAUUUAGCCUUGGA